ACUAUAUGUAGUGUUCAAGGUUCCGCCACCCGCAAGGAAUGGCGGCUAAGACGGGAAUCCGGUGCGGCCCGAUGCCAGAAGGCGCGGCCAAUUCCGGGGCUGUCCCCGCAACUGUGAGCGGCGAGUUCUGUCGAGAAUGCCACUGGGCCCGGGGGCCCGGGAAGGCCGGCACGAAUGGCGACCCGCAAGCCAGGAGACCUGCCUCGAACGCUUUUUGACG
RNAcentral lists this non-coding RNA (220 nucleotides) under Devosia sp. Lineage: Bacteria; Pseudomonadati; Pseudomonadota; Alphaproteobacteria; Hyphomicrobiales; Devosiaceae. The record is from RNAcentral.